This 348-nucleotide long non-coding RNA is filed under the name Carica papaya (papaya). RNAcentral describes it as "long non-coding RNA (CPAP_LNC005017)". The record is from RNAcentral. Lineage: Eukaryota; Viridiplantae; Streptophyta; Magnoliopsida; Brassicales; Caricaceae.
AGAGGAAGGUGAAUCCAGUAUCGUUAGAUCACAUGCAAAAAGAGAGAACCAUUGAUCGAGUGAGUGGCUGAUCGAAGCAGAUUGUGAAUCACACACCUUAAGGGAAAAAAGAGCUAUGGGGAGGUGACAGCCUAUUGUGAGUAGUUUACUAGUAAAUGAAGCUUGGGUAGAGCCUGCCUAUGUUCAUAGGUGCAUACACUGUCUAUCGUGCGGGCAGAGAGAAAACUCUUGCUUGCCCUAUGGUUUGCCCGUGAUGUGUACCUUGCUGGUUGGCCUUCCACGGGCAAAAAAACUUUUCCACAGGUCGAGUUCGCGUGUCUGUGAGGCUUGUGCCUGUGAACAAGAAAU